UGAACGUUACCAAACUGUUGCCUCGGCGGGGUCACGCCCCGGGUGCGUCGCAGCCCCGGAACCAGGCGCCCGCCGGAGGAACCAACCAAACUCUUUCUGUAGUCCCCUCGCGGACGUAUUUCUUACAGCUCUGAGCAAAAAUUCAAAAUGAAUCAAAACUUUCAACAACGGAUCUCUUGGUUCUGGCAUCGAUGAAGAACGCAGCGAAAUGCGAUAAGUAAUGUGAAUUGCAGAAUUCAGUGAAUCAUCGAAUCUUUGAACGCACAUUGCGCCCGCCAGUAUUCUGGCGGGCAUGCCUGUCCGAGCGUCAUUUCAACCCUCGAACCCCUCCGGGGGAUCGGCGUUGGGGAUCGGGACCCCUCACACGGGUGCCGGCCCCGAAAUACAGUGGCGGUCUCGCCGCAGCCUCUCCUGCGCAGUAGUUUGCACAACUCGCACCGGGAGCGCGGCGCGUCCACGUCCGUAAAACACCCAACUUUCUGAAAUGUUGACCUCGGAUCAGGUAGGAAUACCCGCUGAACUUAAG
This 526-nucleotide ribosomal RNA is filed under the name Trichoderma asperellum. RNAcentral describes it as "eukaryotic LSU rRNA". The stretch from base 157 to 310 matches the Rfam family "5.8S ribosomal RNA". Lineage: Eukaryota; Fungi; Ascomycota; Sordariomycetes; Hypocreales; Hypocreaceae. The record is from RNAcentral.